AAUUGGAAAGUAAAGUAUUACAUUUAGUUUCGGCCUAAAAGUUUGGUAAAUAUUACCUUCAAUUA
RNAcentral lists this transfer RNA (65 nucleotides) under Crangon hakodatei. RNAcentral's name for it is "tRNA-Arg". Lineage: Eukaryota; Metazoa; Arthropoda; Malacostraca; Decapoda; Crangonidae. The record is from RNAcentral.